GAAAUCCUGCCUGAAAAGGUUGAAGCCCAACCAUCAGUAGCGAGUCUUGAACCGAACAAAGCAAUUUGGGCGGUUAAGCGUAGACAGGUAGGAUGUAGGCCUGAAAGUGAUAGAGCCCCGAAAUGAGUAAGAUGGGAAGGUCGACGACAUCGGAAUAUCGGAAGACAACAUCGCAACCAUCGAUACGGGCGAGAUGGUCGCGGCUUCCCCGGGGUCGUAGAGCC
This 224-nucleotide non-coding RNA is filed under the name Heliophilum fasciatum. Lineage: Bacteria; Bacillati; Bacillota; Clostridia; Eubacteriales; Heliobacteriaceae. The record is from RNAcentral.